AGAAAACCUUCACACAGAGAUGGACUUUUAAUGUGGAAGGUUCACGUUAGUGUGUCACUUCUUGUCAGGUGUUGUCAGGUGUCUGCUCCUGUCAGAAAGCAUUCAAACGUUCACAAACUGACCUGAGCGACACGUUCGUGAAGCUGAAGGGUUAACUCUGCAGCCUCGGGGUCUGCCACACCCACAGGGGAGGGGGCUGUUGCUGUGACAACAGGGCAUGAAGGGCUGUUUGUGUUUGGAGACAGAGAGAGAGGGAGGGAGGGAGUCUGUGUCUCUCACUCAUGUUUUUAAGGUGAAGUCAUCUGGAAGGAAACACUCCCUCUCUCUCCAUGUCAGUCUGUGUGAAGCUCUCUCGCUCACCGCUCACGUCAGACAGGUUCUGUUCGUCGCUCUAACGUCGUUUUCAUAAAGUUUAAUUCACCUUUAUUUAUACUCUGCAGAGUCACAAUAGUCAAUUCAAUGAUACUGGGAGGAAAGCCCCUGCAGUAUCAGAGAGGAAACCCUGACAGCCAGACAGCACCUGGCAACGGUGGAGAGGAAGAACUCCCUUUUAACAGGAAGUAACCGUCUGCCAUGUGCUGUGGUCACAGCAGUUUAAGAUCAUCACAGGUGUACCCUCAGAACCCUCCCCAGUCCACAGAUGGUCUUUACUUCCUGUCCAGGACCUGCAGAGUCCUCACCUGGCCAGGUAGGCCUGCUGUCAUGUGACUGCUCAGGCAAUAUGGAGGAAACAUGUUUCCUAAAGAAACACAGAUAAACGCACUAAACAUGAUGGAGGCGCUCAAAUGAAUAUAAUGAAUGUAACGUUGUUUGUAUGUGUAACCAGCGCCACCUGGAGGAGGAGCUUUGGAAACGUUGUGGGUGCGUGAGGUCAGUGCUCUCCUGUGAUGAUGGUUAUUUUAAACAGUUUAAUGAAAUGUUUUUAUGGUGUAACAUUUUCACUGAUAAUCUUGCCUCUGUUGUCCUUUUAUGUUCUUUUGAUUCAAACAUAAUUUUGUCUUGGUGAGUCCGUUCAGCCAUGAUGGACGAAAGGUUAAGUACGAAUGAUUGGGAGGAAGUCUUGUAGGGCGGACUCACCUCUUUGUUGUUUCCUUUGUUUGUUUGAGCCACUUCCCUUUACAAACCCUGGUUACAGGUCACACACAGUGCUGAUUCCCAGACCCGAAAUGUUUGUGGCCCACAGUUGAUGAUUUACAGUGCAGGGCUAUGUGCCUGCACCUUUGGUUUGAUAUGUGCAGCUGGGACUUAGUAAAAUGUGUCUGUCUGCGAAUGAACGAUGGAAUAAAUGAAUUAAUCUCUUCUGGGCAUUUUGUUCAACGUCUCAGUGCUCAGUCACAUAUGUGACGUUAUGAUGUUGUUUCUAUGUCAUUGUGGUUCUGUAGCUGAUCUAAUCGAUUAUUUCUGUUCUAAACUCAGUUUUAAUUUCACUAAAAACCAGUUUGUCUCUAAUCAAAGACAUUACUGAGCUACAGUAACGAUGUUCACACGUACGGAGUUUCACUCAGACUGUCUUUAAUAUUCACACAAACCAACCUGAAACCACCUGUUGGUACUGGUGCUGUAAUCACUUGAUGAUGAUGAUGCCAUACUUGUGUACUGGAUGUACCUGAAAUAUUAAAUCUAAUAAUUACAAAGAAGAACCGCUCUCCUGUGUGUUGUGGUCACAACCACACGGAGCUGGGCAGUUUGAUCUGCCUAGUGCUGUCAUCACAGGUGACAUGAAGCCUGGUCAGAGCUGGAGAACCACAGAGGAAGAACUCGGAGUUCAGCUCACAAAGAGAGGAAACAGGAAGACGCUGAGUGUGUUAGAGAGAGGAAACAUCUGAUUAUCUGACGUCAGCUCAUUAAAACACAUUCACUGUGUCACCAUGAUAAUGCAGGGAGGAGUGUCAGCUGUUAUUAAAGUCAGUGUUUGUAGUCCAUCAGUGAGGAAGAGGAGGGUGAAGGAGGAAGGAGAGAGCACAGCUUCCUUUGACCGAGAAGGGUCUGGCUGGAGCCACUGUGGAGCACCAUAUUGUGACCUCCACAGUAACCGGAUACACGUGACCUCCACAGUAGCUGGAAACACGUAACCUGCAUGAAUACAGUGGAAACCUUGCAAGUGGAUCGUAAAGAUGCACAUAUCAAUUUGGAAUUCUGCCUCAAAGCCAGAAUUGCACCACGUGUUGCAGAAGACUCUUUCACUGCCCUCUGUGCCCCACUUUCAGCCCUACUGUCAGGUCAAAGAUUGAGGAGCAUAUAAAUGGACACAUUAAAAAAGCUUUGCCUUUCAAAG
Molecule: long non-coding RNA, 2275 nt
Organism: Oreochromis aureus
Lineage: Eukaryota; Metazoa; Chordata; Actinopteri; Cichliformes; Cichlidae
Exons: 2
Source: RefSeq, a predicted model, not a curated record